Molecule: ribosomal RNA, 253 nt
Filed under: uncultured bacterium
Lineage: Bacteria
Description: partial 16S ribosomal RNA
Rfam family: Bacterial small subunit ribosomal RNA
Source: RNAcentral
UACGAAGGGGGCUAGCGUUGUUCGGAAUUACUGGGAGUAAAGGGCGCGUAGGCGGUUUAUCAAGUGAGAUGUGAAAUCCCCGGGCUUAACCUGGGAACUGCAUCUUAAACUGAUGAGCUGGAGUACUGUAGAGGACAGUGGAAUUUCCGGUGUAGUGGUGGAAUGCGUAGAUAUCGGGAGGAACACCAGUGGCGAAGGCGGUUGCCUGGGGCUUUGCUGACGCUGAUGCGCGAAAGCGUGGGGAGCGAUCCGG